RNAcentral lists this ribosomal RNA (253 nucleotides) under uncultured bacterium. RNAcentral's name for it is "partial 16S ribosomal RNA". It matches the Rfam family "Bacterial small subunit ribosomal RNA", at positions 524 to 776 of the family's 1533-position model. The record is from RNAcentral.
UACGAAGGGGGCUAGCGUUGUUCGGAAUUACUGGGCGUAAAGGGCGCGUAGGCUGUGCUGUAAGUCAGGCGUGAAAGCCCCGGGCUCAACCUGGGAAUUGCGUUUGAUACUGCGGCGCUGGAAGGUGGGAGAGGAUGGCGGAAUUCCCAGUGUAGAGGUGAAAUUCGUAGAUAUUGGGAAGAACACCAGUGGCGAAGGCGGCUCUCUGGUCCGAUACUGACGCUGAGGUGCGAAAGCGUGGGGAGCAAACAGG